RNAcentral lists this ribosomal RNA (434 nucleotides) under uncultured bacterium. RNAcentral's name for it is "partial 16S ribosomal RNA". It matches the Rfam family "Bacterial small subunit ribosomal RNA", at positions 29 to 507 of the family's 1533-position model. The record is from RNAcentral.
AGCGAACGCUGGCGGCAGGCCUAACACAUGCAAGUCGAACGAACCUUUCGGGGUUAGUGGCGGACGGGUGAGUAACACGUGGGAACGUGCCUUUAGGUUCGGAAUAACUCAGGGAAACUUGUGCUAAUACCGAAUGUGCCCUUCGGGGGAAAGAUUUAUCGCCUUUAGAGCGGCCCGCGUCUGAUUAGCUAGUUGGUUGAGGUAAUGGCUCACCAAGGCGACGAUCAGUAGCUGGUCUGAGAGGAUGAUCAGCCACAUUGGGACUGAGACACGGCCCAAACUCCUACGGGAGGCAGCAGUGGGGAAUCUUGCGCAAUGGGCGAAAGCCUAACGCAGCCAUGCCGCGUGAAUGAUGAAGGUCUUAGGAUUGUAAAAUUCUUUCACCGGGGACGAUAAUGACGGUACCCGGAGAAGAAGCCCCGGCUAACUUCGUG